Echinops telfairi (small Madagascar hedgehog) is the source of this 605-nucleotide long non-coding RNA. RefSeq lists it as uncharacterized. The transcript has 3 exons. Lineage: Eukaryota; Metazoa; Chordata; Mammalia; Afrosoricida; Tenrecidae. The record is from RefSeq and is a predicted model, not a curated record.
AGAUGUGCUCCAGGACAAUGCUUUUGGUGACACUGUCUUGUUUUAUAGGUGACAUUGAUGAUAAAAAUCCAUUCAAGAAUUUAGAUGAGACAUCUGCAGCAGGUUCAAAUCCAUAAGACAAAACUGGAUACUUCAUAAGGAUUGUCAUCUAUUAUACACAGAGAGCCAAAAUGCGUAACUGAGAUUGUCUGGGUGAGAUGCCUGCUGGGUCCAGUGAUGCACUAGUAAACAAAGAAGUUGAAAAAGAAGGUUGGCAUAUUCUUUGGAUGACUGGCAGAGUGUGACACCAAUAUGGCAUCAAGCUCUACUGUGAUUCUAAGGACUUCAUGACUAAAUAAAAGUGAAUUUUCCCCCCUGUGUGUGGUGGUGGUUGUGGAAAUGAAUAUGAUCUUUACUCAGGAUUGGAGGCAAUUUACCACCAGUUGUCGAAACGUACAGCAUUGAAGAAGCUCCUUAUCUUGCUGAUUCUUGAUCACAUUCCCCUUGCUUCUACCUGGGAGGUAACCAGUAUUCUGCAUUAGGGCAACAAUCUACGAUCCUUCUCAUAAGGGAGUGGGUCCUACUUCGUGGGACAGACGAUUGCCCUCCAUGGUAGACAACCUUCA